RNAcentral lists this long non-coding RNA (5016 nucleotides) under Phoenix dactylifera (date palm). Its description in RNAcentral is "long non-coding RNA (PDAC_LNC002411)". The record is from RNAcentral. Lineage: Eukaryota; Viridiplantae; Streptophyta; Magnoliopsida; Arecales; Arecaceae.
UUGAGCCAUCUGUGAGAGCUUGAGAGCUUUGUAUCCUCUUGUUGGGAGGUUGGGCGGCAUUCAUGCCGAGGCACUGGUGCCAAUUUGGGUCUUAGAUCUAUGUUCUAGGACAGGGAAUGUGAGGGAUAAAUCAAUCCAUCUCAUUAGAUUAGGCUAGGAAGGGAUCCUUCCGAUCCUUUGCUCGAAUUUAUCUUUGCUUUAUGUUUCUUGUUUUGUUCUUGUAAUUGAUCUUUCCACUUGAGAUUGAAUCCAAAAGUUCCUUUGAUCUUCAUUGGUGAAAUCCUUGGAAGGCAUAUUGUUCAUCUUUUUGGUGUGAGCAUCGCAUCCCCCCAGGCGUUACCUAUAUUCGGCCAAGGAAGAAGUUCUAGCAAGGCAAAAAGCCUGCGAUCAGCGGAUUAGUUUGGUGGGGAGCCGUCGGCCGAGCGGAGGACCCCAUCAACUGGUGCUUUCAUUGAGAGUGUCUAACCCUCGUUGAGACAAGUCUUCUUCAAGGAGGUAACGUUCGGAACACAGAAAAUUUCAGAUCUGACGUCUACAGUUGGUUGGAAAAUUUCUGCAACAUAUACUUGCUGAUUACACCAGAUUUUCUGCAACGAUUUGAUUAUAUUGUGGCAGUAUUUUGAUUUUCCGCCAUCUAUAGAAAACUCCUGUUUAUUUGUGUUGAAUGUUAAAGGGAUUAGACAGCAACUUAGGCAGGGAAUAGUUGCUGAUUUUGGGAGUUGUUGCAGACAGAAUUUUCUGCGUUGGGUGUAAGUUGGUUAACCAACGUUGAGCAGGGAUGACUAUGUGAAAAAAAUAAGAGAGAGGGAGUACAGAAGAUCUCAUGGUGAGAGCCCUUGGUCAUAUGCCUUGUGGCGAGGCCCGGCAAGGCAUGACAGUGAGAGUGAUUCAGGAGAUGAGUGGAGAAAAAGGCUAAGAAAGAAAAGGAUAGAGGAAAGAAGAAGACUAAAGAGCAGGGAUUGGAGGUGGAGAGAUAAGAGAUCCUGUGACACCGAAUCGGAUGAAGAACCAAUCCAUGCUCAGAAGCCUUAUGGCCGAGGAGACUACAUGGAUGAAAAAUGGAAGAGGCCAAUUGCAAAUGGCUAUGGUAAGGAUGCCAUCAAGGGUCCACGGCUUCAAGAGAAGGAGCCAAGAAAUCUCAGCAAUGACUCCUUCAAAUGCAGCAGCAGGGACUCUAAAUCCUUGCAACAGAAGACGACUUCAACGGGUAAAGAAGUGGCUGAAAGCAGCAACAAAGAACAACCCAAAGAAGUCAGGAAAUUACCUCAGGAGAAGCUGCAAGGGUACAUAAAGAAUGGUCUCUGUUUUCAAUGCGGCAACAAGUGGAAGGGAAGCCAUUGUUGCAAACCUGAUCAAGAUGCUGCAAUUUCUGAUGGCAGCCACAAAGAGACCAAGCUACAUAUAGCCAAGCCGGGAGAUGCACACAGCGAAGGAGUCGCUGGCCCAACAUCAGCAGCAACCCAGCCACCAAGUGAUGCCAUAGCAGCCCCCAAGGAGGAGGCAACCAGGCACACCAAGGUUGCUGACCUGCCGGCUGUGACAGCAGAAAAUUCUGCAAUGGCAAAACCAGAAGAAAACCAGCAAAUUGACGGCAACUGCCAAGAUCCCAAUUCCGGGAGAUACAAACCCAUGUCCAGCACUCCCAAGGCCGGCAUCCAGCAACCCUGCACCAACCCAGCAGCCAAAUCCUUCACCUGGAACUCUGCCAACCACAGAAGCUUGGACCUAUGGCCUGGUUGCACCAGGCCAGCGCCCGGGCCACACGGCAUCUGCAUCCAGGAGCCCUACAGACCAGGCUGCAGCACCAAACUUCUACAAAGAAACUACAGCAACAGCCAAUGGAAUUAUGCACCAACGUUGGGCAGAAGGGAUGAUUAAUUGGAGGUUUGUUCUAGUACCCAUUAUUCCUACUUUCCACCAUAAAAUGUUUGGGUACCUCCACAAUCGCAAGGAUGACCACGAUGGCAUGGCACAUGGAUACUCCAACCUCAUCCUUGAGGGCAAGGAUGUUCUUCAAGGGAUGGGGAAUGAUGAGGUCCCAUCAAAUUUCCACGGCCAAAGGGGCCGAUCUGGCAUAGGACAUGAGACACUUGCAGCCAAAAAUGCCCACGCACAGGCCCUUCCCAGCUUCUGCGCGUGGACCCCUGCAGUAGCACACCGCAGCAGGCCAGCGCACGGUGCCCAUCCCAGCACCCGCGCGCUUGGCCCCGAUCAGCAGCAGCAGCGGAGCUCGGCAUGCAUGGCCACAACCAAGUGUGCGCUGAGCCCGCACAUUCUAGCCCAACACUCCACGCCCGUGCACGCCCGGUCCUCCGCGCCCAUGCGCAUAUGGCGUCCAGUGUCCGAGCGGGCGCAGCUUGCCCAGCAGCCAUCGGCCGGACAUGACCAACGGGCCACAUGCAUGCGCGACCCACAGACAGCGCCGCAGGGCCUUCGUGCAGUGCCAAGCACAGCGACUGCGCCGAAGGCCAGACCGCCCAUGCGCAGGAGUUCUUCAUGCCCAGCAGCCAGGACCCAAGACCUGGGAGCCCAGGACCCGCGUCCAGAGCUCCCGAGUCCCGCGUCCCGGCACCUAUCAGCCAGCCCGUGCGCAGGGCCUUGCCCAACGCCCUCGAGCGCGUCCAACAGCUCCGCGCGCGCAGCAGCACCGCACGCGCACCAGCAGGCCGCGCGCAGGCCCGCAGCAUUCAGCUUUGCCCGUCAUGCAGCGAGCGCACACCCAGCAUUCAGCCCGCGCACACCCANNNNNNNNNNNNNNNNNNNNNNNNNNNNNNNNNNNNNNNNNNNNNNNNNNNNNNNNNNNNNNNNNNNNNNNNNNNNNNNNNNNNNNNNNNNNNNNNNNNNNNNNNNNNNNNNNNNNNNNNNNNNNNNNNNNNNNNNNNNNNNNNNNNNNNNNNNNNNNNNNNNNNNNNNNNNNNNNNNNNNNNNNNNNNNNNNNNNNNNNNNNNNNNNNNNNNNNNNNNNNNNNNNNNNNNNNNNNNNNNNNCGGCGCGGGCCCGUGCGUGCCUAGCGCACACCCGCGUGCGCCCCGCGCGAACCCAAUGCAGCCACCACCAGAUAGCACCCAUCCAUGGACACCCACAUAAAGCCAGCCAGGAUCCGCAUCCUAGCCAACCAGGACGCGCAUCCCGAAUUCAGCGCUGCAACAUAAAGCCAGCCCGGAUGCGAGUCCGGGCCAACCGGGAUCCGCAUCCCAGCCACACGGGUCGCGUGUCCCGAAUCCGCACCAGCCAAGGAAGAGAGGACCUACCGCUUGGGUAGAUUUCUUCCUUCCUUGGAUCCUCUAUGCAGUCUAUUUAAAGGCCCUUAAGGCCGCAGGAGAAGGGGAUUUUUGUUUUUUUGAGCCAUUUGUGAGAGCUUGAGAGCUUUGUAUCCUCUUGUUGAGAGGUUGGGCGGCAUGCAUGCCGAGGCACUUGUGCCAAUUUGGGUCUUAGAUCUGUGUUCUAGGACAGGGAAUGUGAGGGAUAAAUCAAUCUGUCUCAUUAGAUUAGGCUAGGAAGGGAUCCUUCCAAUCCUUUGCUCGAAUUUAUCUUUGCUUUAUGUUUCUUGUUUUGUUCUUGUAAUUGAUCUUUCCACUUGAGAUUGAAUCCAAAAGUUCCUUUGAUCUUCAUUGGUGAAAUCCUUGGAAGGCAUAUUGUUCAUCUUUUUGGUGUGAGCAUCGCAUCCCCCCCAAGCGUUACCUAUAUUCGGCCAAGGAAGAAGUUCUAGCAAGGCAAAAAGCCUGCGAUCAGCGGAUUAGUUUGGUGAGGAGCCGUCGGCCGAGCGGAGGACCCCAUCAAUUGGUGGAAUCGAACUCAUCUGGGGUCGACCUCCGCUACAGUGGGGUCGGUCUUCUCAAGAACCACAGAACCUUGUAUUUUCGGCUGUUUUCACUGGGGUCGACUCAACCUUUCUUGGGGUCGACCCAUGCUACAGUGGGGUCAACUCAAGCUCCAUUGGGGUCGACCCUCUCAGGAAUUCCAGAGACAUGGUUUUGAGCACAUAUUCUUGGGGUCGGCUCAUGUUCAGUUGGGGUCGGCUCCAUGGGGUCGGCUCAAGGUUCUUUGGGGUCGGCUCCUCUCCUGGAGCGGCUCAAAGAUAUAUGGGGUCGGCUCCACUCAUUGUUCAUCUGUGCCAGGGGUGUGCCAGGGUCGACUCUACUUCCUCUGGGGUCGCCUCAAUUCACACUUUCCUGCAUCUUAAGGUUAGACUAAUUCAUAUAAUCAAUAAGACAUAUUUCAAGUAAUUUUGAGUGUAUACCCUUAAUAAUGAAAAUUACUAUUUUACCCUUAAAAGUAUAUUUCACUUGAAACUUUGCUGAAUUAGAUUUAAAGACUCUUUUUCAUAUUCUUAUCUCGUUGUUAAUCAUUGGGAGUCGUCUUGAUCUCAUUCUUUCAACGUAUCAAAGAAUGUGGUGUUAAUUAGUGGUGUAUCAAGUUAAGUCAUACUAUUAAUUUAAUAUUCCCUCAAUUGUUGUGUUAAUCAUCGAAAUAACACUAUCAUCCUCAAAAAUAAUACUAUACAUCGGGACUCCUGAACUUCUAUAACUCUUUACUUCUAAAAUCUCUCCUUAAGGACUUGAAAAGCAAUAAAGUUCUUUCGUUAGACCAAAUUUUAACUCUUAAUUGUGUUUGGCGCUCCAAUAUGCGGUGGAUAAGUUCCCAAAACAAUUUGUCGCUUACCAAUCACACAACCAAUCCCAUCAUUGAUUGAAUAGUAAUCUAGGGACAUCAUGUACCCAUUUUUGCACUCACUGUAUUUUCCUUCUUCACAACUCUUCUAUGAUUGUUCCAUCAGUUUUUUAUCACUCCACGCACAUUUUUGAUAUGGGUGAUACCAAGGUAUGCCGUACCAGUACCGUACUGGUUGCCUAGCAGAUCGGUGCAGACUAUUUUGGACCGGUACCAAACCAGCCAACAGCGCGCAGCGCGAGCGGGGCGCUGCCACAAUGCCACAACAGGCCAUGGCAUCCUACUACGGCAUUAAAUGCCACUCUGUGGCAUUAAAUGCCCCAGGACUCGGUACCGAUUCACACUG